GACGAACGCUGGCGGCGUGCCUAAUACAUGCAAGUCGAACGAACUCUGGUAUUGAUUGGUGCUUGCAUCAUGAUUUACAUUUGAGUGAGUGGCGAACUGGUGAGUAACACGUGGGAAACCUGCCCAGAAGCGGGGGAUAACACCUGGAAACAGAUGCUAAUACCGCAUAACAACUUGGACCGCAUGGUCCGAGCUUGAAAGAUGGCUUCGGCUAUCACUUUUGGAUGGUCCCGCGGCGUAUUAGCUAGAUGGUGGGGUAACGGCUCACCAUGGCAAUGAUACGUAGCCGACCUGAGAGGGUAAUCGGCCACAUUGGGACUGAGACACGGCCCAAACUCCUACGGGAGGCAGCAGUAGGGAAUCUUCCACAAUGGACGAAAGUCUGAUGGAGCAACGCCGCGUGAGUGAAGGAGGGUUUCGGCUCGUAAAACUCUGUUGUUAAAGAAGAACAUAUCUGAGAGUAACUGUUCAGGUAUUGACGGUAUUUAACCAGAAAGCCACGGCUAACUACGUGCCAGCAGCCGCGGUAAUACGUAGGUGGCAAGCGUUGUCCGGAUUUAUUGGGCGUAAAGCGAGCGCAGGCGGUUUUUUAAGUCUGAUGUGAAAGCCUUCGGCUCAACCGAAGAAGUGCAUCGGAAACUGGGAAACUUGAGUGCAGAAGAGGACAGUGGAACUCCAUGUGUAGCGGUGAAAUGCGUAGAUAUAUGGAAGAACACCAGUGGCGAAGGCGGCUGUCUGGUCUGUAACUGACGCUGAGGCUCGAAAGUAUGGGUAGCAAACAGGAUUAGAUACCCUGGUAGUCCAUACCGUAAACGAUGAAUGCUAAGUGUUGGAGGGUUUCCGCCCUUCAGUGCUGCAGCUAACGCAUUAAGCAUUCCGCCUGGGGAGUACGGCCGCAAGGCUGAAACUCAAAGGAAUUGACGGGGGCCCGCACAAGCGGUGGAGCAUGUGGUUUAAUUCGAAGCUACGCGAAGAACCUUACCAGGUCUUGACAUACUAUGCAAAUCUAAGAGAUUAGACGUUCCCUUUGGGGACAUGGAUACAGGUGGUGCAUGGUUGUCGUCAGCUCGUGUCGUGAGAUGUUGGGUUAAGUCCCGCAACGAGCGCAACCCUUAUUAUCAGUUGCCAGCAUUAAGUUGGGCACUCUGGUGAGACUGCCGGUGACAAACCGGAGGAAGGUGGGGAUGACGUCAAAUCAUCAUGCCCCUUAUGACCUGGGCUACACACGUGCUACAAUGGAUGGUACAACGAGUUGCGAACUCGCGAGAGUAAGCUAAUCUCUUAAAGCCAUUCUCAGUUCGGAUUGUAGGCUGCAACUCGCCUACAUGAAGUCGGAAUCGCUAGUAAUCGCGGAUCAGCAUGCCGCGGUGAAUACGUUCCCGGGCCUUGUACACACCGCCCGUCACACCAUGAGAGUUUGUAACACCCAAAGUCGGUGGGGUAACCUUUUAGGAACCAGCCGCCUAAGGUGGGACAGAUGAUUAGGGUG
Molecule: ribosomal RNA, 1489 nt
Filed under: Lactiplantibacillus argentoratensis
Lineage: Bacteria; Bacillati; Bacillota; Bacilli; Lactobacillales; Lactobacillaceae
Description: bacterial SSU rRNA
Rfam family: Bacterial small subunit ribosomal RNA
Source: RNAcentral